This 467-nucleotide ribosomal RNA is filed under the name uncultured bacterium. RNAcentral describes it as "partial 16S ribosomal RNA". It matches the Rfam family "Bacterial small subunit ribosomal RNA", at positions 28 to 507 of the family's 1533-position model. The record is from RNAcentral.
GACGAACGCUGGCGGCGUGCUAACACAUGCAAGUCGAACGGAAAGGCCCUGCUUUUGUGGGGUGCUCGAGUGGCGAACGGGUGAGUAACACGUGAGUAACCUGCCCUUGACUUUGGGAUAACUUCAGGAAACUGGGGCUAAUACCGGAUAGGAGCUCCUGCUGCAUGGUGGGGGUUGGAAAGUUUCGGCGGUUGGGGAUGGACUCGCGGCUUAUCAGCUUGGUGGUGGGGUAGUGGCUUACCAAGGCUUUGACGGGUAGCCGGCCUGAGAGGGUGACCGGCCACAGUGGGACUGAGAUACGGCCCAGACUCCUACGGGAGGCAGCAGUGGGGAAUAUUGCACAAUGGGCGGAAGCCUGAUGCAGCAACGCCGCGUGCGGGAUGACGGCCUUCGGGUUGUAAACCGCUUUCGCCUGUGACGAAGCGUGAGUGACGGUAAUGGGUAAAGAAGCACCGGCUAACUACGUG